GGGCGGUUAGCUCAGUUGGUUAGAGCGCAGCGUUGACAUCGCUGAGGUCACUGGUUCGAGUCCAGUACCGCCCA
Molecule: transfer RNA, 74 nt
Filed under: Chloroflexota bacterium
Lineage: Bacteria; Bacillati; Chloroflexota
Also listed under: 2 other names
Description: tRNA-Val
Rfam family: tRNA
About the family: Transfer RNA (tRNA) molecules are approximately 80 nucleotides in length.
Source: RNAcentral